GACAGAGGGUGCAAACGUUGCUCGGAUUUACUGGGCGUAAAGCGCAUGUAGGCUGGAAUCUAAGUCGGGUGUGAAAUCCCUGGGCUCAACCUAGGAACUGCAUCCGAAACUGGACCCCUGGAGUGGUGGAGAGGAAAGCGGAAUUCCGGGUGUAGAGGUGAAAUUCGUAGAUAUCCGGAGGAACACCAGUGGCGAAGGCGGCUUUCUGGACACCAACUGACGCUGAGAUGCGAAAGCGUGGGGAGCAAACAGG
This 253-nucleotide ribosomal RNA is filed under the name uncultured bacterium. Its description in RNAcentral is "partial 16S ribosomal RNA". It matches the Rfam family "Bacterial small subunit ribosomal RNA", at positions 524 to 776 of the family's 1533-position model. The record is from RNAcentral.